ACACUCCUGCGGGAGGCAGCAGUGGGGAAUAUUGCACAAUGGGCGCAAGCCUGAUGCAGCCAUGCCGCGUGUAUGAAGAAGGCCUUCGGGUUGUAAAGUACUUUCAGCGGGGAGGAAGGCGAUAAGGUUAAUAACCUUGUUGAUUGACGUUACCCGCAGAAGAAGCACCGGCUAACUCCGUGCCAGCAGCCGCGGUAAUACGGAGGGUGCAAGCGUUAAUCGGAAUUACUGGGCGUAAAGCGCACGCAGGCGGUCUGUCAAGUCGGAUGUGAAAUCCCCGGGCUCAACCUGGGAACUGCAUUCGAAACUGGCAGGCUAGAGUCUUGUAGAGGGGGGUAGAAUUCCAGGUGUAGCGGUGAAAUGCGUAGAGAUCUGGAGGAAUACCGGUGGCGAAGGCGGCCCCCUGGACAAAGACUGACGCUCAGGUGCGAAAGCGUGGGGAGCAAACAGGAUUAGAAACCCCGGUAGUCCCAUGA
Molecule: ribosomal RNA, 476 nt
Filed under: uncultured organism
Description: partial 16S ribosomal RNA
Rfam family: Bacterial small subunit ribosomal RNA
Source: RNAcentral